This 468-nucleotide ribosomal RNA is filed under the name uncultured bacterium. RNAcentral describes it as "partial 16S ribosomal RNA". It matches the Rfam family "Bacterial small subunit ribosomal RNA", at positions 28 to 507 of the family's 1533-position model. The record is from RNAcentral.
GACGAACGCUGGCGGCGUGCUUAACACAUGCAAGUCGAACGGAAAGGCCCUGCUUUUGUGGGGUGCUCGAGUGGCGAACGGGUGAGUAACACGUUAGUAACCUGCCCUUGACUUUGGGAUAACUUCAGGAAACUGGGGCUAAUACCGGAUAGGAGCUCCUGCUGCAUGGUGGGGGUUGGAAAGUUUCGGCGGUUGGGGAUGGACGCGCGGCUUAUCAGCUUGUUGGUGGGGUAGUGGCUUACCAAGGCUUUGACGGGUAGCCGGCCUGAGAGGGUGACCGGCCACAUUGGGACUGAGAUACGGCCCAGACUCCUACGGGAGGCAGCAGUGGGGAAUAUUGCACAAUGGGCGGAAGCCUGAUGCAGAAACGCCGCGUGCGGGAUGACGGCCUUCGGGUUGUAAACCGCUUUCGCCUGUGACGAAGCGUGAGUGACGGUAAUGGGUAAAGAAGCACCGGCUAACUACGUG